Molecule: ribosomal RNA, 253 nt
Filed under: uncultured bacterium
Lineage: Bacteria
Description: partial 16S ribosomal RNA
Rfam family: Bacterial small subunit ribosomal RNA
Source: RNAcentral
UACGUAGGGUGCGAGCGUUGUCCGGAAUUAUUGGGCGUAAAGAGCUCGUAGGCGGUUUGUCGCGUCGUUCGUGAAAACUCCACGCUUAACGUGGAGCGUGCGGGCGAUACGGGCAGACUUGAGUUCGGUAGGGGAGACUGGAAUUCUUGGUGUAGCGGUGAAAUGCGUAGAUAUCAAGAGGAACACCUGAGGCGAAGGCGGGUUGCUAGGCUGAUACUGACGCUGAGGCGCGAAAGCUAGGGUAGCAAACGGG